RNAcentral lists this ribosomal RNA (301 nucleotides) under uncultured bacterium. Its description in RNAcentral is "partial 16S ribosomal RNA". It matches the Rfam family "Bacterial small subunit ribosomal RNA", at positions 509 to 807 of the family's 1533-position model. The record is from RNAcentral.
CAGCAGCCACGGUAAUACGAAGGGGGCUAGCGUUACUCGGAAUUACUGGGCGUAAAGGGCGCGUAGGCGGCACGAUUAGUCAGGCGUGAAAUUCCUGGGCUCAACCUGGGGACUGCGCUUGAUACGGUCGAGCUAGAGGAUGGAAGAGGGUCGUGGAAUUCCCAGUGCAGAGGUGAAAUUCGUAGAUAUUGGGAAGAACACCGGUGGCGAAGGCGGCAACCUGGUCCAUUACUGACGCUGAGGCGCGACAGCGUGGGGAGCAAACAGGAUUAGAUACCCCAGUAGUCCCUGUCUCUUAUAC